Molecule: ribosomal RNA, 402 nt
Filed under: uncultured Hyphomonadaceae bacterium
Lineage: Bacteria; Pseudomonadati; Pseudomonadota; Alphaproteobacteria; Hyphomonadales; Hyphomonadaceae
Description: bacterial SSU rRNA
Rfam family: Bacterial small subunit ribosomal RNA
Source: RNAcentral
AGUGGGGAAUCUUGGACAAUGGGCGCAAGCCUGAUCCAGCCAUGCCGCGUGAGUGAAGAAGGCCUUAGGGUUGUAAAACUCUUUCGCCGGAGAAGAUAAUGACGGUAUCCGGAGAAGAAGCCCCGGCUAACUUCGUGCCAGCAGCCGCGGUAAUACGAAGGGGGCUAGCGUUGUUCGGAAUUACUGGGCGUAAAGCGCACGUAGGCGGGUUUGUAAGUAGAGGGUGAAAUCCCAGGGCUCAACCCUGGAACUGCCUUCUAGACUGCAAGCCUGGAGGUCAGGAGAGGCGAGUGGAAUACCGAGUGUAGAGGUGAAAUUCGUAGAUAUUCGGUGGAACACCAGUGGCGAAGGCGACUCGCUGGACUGAUACUGACGCUGAGGUGCGAAAGCGUGGGGAGCAAA